CUACGGGGCGCUCCAGUGGGGAAUAUUGCACAAUGGGCGCAAGCCUGAUGCAGCCAUGCCGCGUGUAUGAAGAAGGCCUUCGGGUUGUAAAGUACUUUCAGCGGGGAGGAAGGGAGUAAAGUUAAUACCUUUGCUCAUUGAUGUUACCCGCAGAAGAAGCACCGGCUAACUCCGUGCCAGCAGCCGCGGUAAUACGGAGGGUGCAAGCGUUAAUCGGAAUUACUGGGCGUAAAGCGCACGCAGGCGGUUUGUUAAGUCAGAUGUGAAAUCCCCGGGCUCAACCUGGGAACUGCAUCUGAUACUGGCAAGCGUGAGUCUCGUAGAGGGGGGUAGAAUUCCAGGUGUAGCGGUGAAAUGCGUAGAGAUCUGGAGGAAUACCGGUGGCGAAGGCGGCCCCCUGGACGAAGACUGACGCUCAGGUGCGAAAGCGUGGGGAGCAAACAGGAUUAGAUACCCCCGUAGUC
Molecule: ribosomal RNA, 464 nt
Filed under: uncultured bacterium
Lineage: Bacteria
Description: partial 16S ribosomal RNA
Rfam family: Bacterial small subunit ribosomal RNA
Source: RNAcentral